Molecule: ribosomal RNA, 253 nt
Filed under: uncultured bacterium
Lineage: Bacteria
Description: partial 16S ribosomal RNA
Rfam family: Bacterial small subunit ribosomal RNA
Source: RNAcentral
UACAGAGGGUGCGAGCGUUAAUCGGAAUUACUGGGCGUAAAGCGCACGUAGUCGGCUUUGCAAGUCGGUUGUGAAAUCCCCGGGCUCAACCUGGGAACUGCAUCCGAGACUGCAUUGCUAGAGUAUGGGAGAGGAAAGCGGAAUUUCUGGUGCAGCAGUGAAAUGCGUAGAUAUCAGAAGGAACAUCAGUGGCGAAGGCGGCUUUCUGGACCAAUACUGACGAUCAGGUGCGAAAGCGUGGGGAGCAAACAGG